GUGGGGAAUAUUGGACAAUGGGCGAAAGCCUGAUCCAGCCAUGCCGCGUGUGUGAAGAAGGUCUUCGGAUUGUAAAGCACUUUAAGUUGGGAGGAAGGGCAGUAAGUUAAUACCUUGCUGUUUUGACGUUACCGACAGAAUAAGCACCGGCUAACUUCGUGCCAGCAGCCGCGGUAAUACGAAGGGUGCAAGCGUUAAUCGGAAUUACUGGGCGUAAAGCGCGCGUAGGUGGUUUUGUAAGUUAGAGGUGAAAUCCCCGGGCUCAACCUGGGAACUGCCUACAAAACUGCAUGACUAGAGUACGGUAGAGGGUAGUGGAAUUUCCUGUGUAGCGGUGAAAUGCGUAGAUAUAGGAAGGAACACCAGUGGCGAAGGCGACUACCUGGACUGAUACUGACACUGAGGUGCGAAAGCGUGGGGAGCAAACAGGAUUAGAUACCCCAGUAGUCC
Molecule: ribosomal RNA, 450 nt
Filed under: uncultured bacterium
Lineage: Bacteria
Description: partial 16S ribosomal RNA
Rfam family: Bacterial small subunit ribosomal RNA
Source: RNAcentral